GAUGAACGCUGGCGGCGUGCCUAAUACAUGCAAGUCGAGCGAACGGACGAGAAGCUUGCUUCUCUGAUGUUAGCGGCGGACGGGUGAGUAACACGUGGAUAACCUACCUAUAAGACUGGGAUAACUUCGGGAAACCGGAGCUAAUACCGGAUAAUAUUUUGAACCGCAUGGUUCAAAAGUGAAAGACGGUCUUGCUGUCACUUAUAGAUGGAUCCGCGCUGCAUUAGCUAGUUGGUAAGGUAACGGCUUACCAAGGCAACGAUGCAUAGCCGACCUGAGAGGGUGAUCGGCCACACUGGAACUGAGACACGGUCCAGACUCCUACGGGAGGCAGCAGUAGGGAAUAUUGCGCAAUGGGCGAAAGCCUGACGGAGCAACGCCGCGUGAGUGAUGAAGGUCUUCGGAUCGUAAAACUCUGUUAUUAGGGAAGAACAGAUGUGUAAGUAACUGUGCACAUCUUGACGGUACCUAAACAGAAAGCCACGGCUAACUACGUG
RNAcentral lists this ribosomal RNA (497 nucleotides) under uncultured bacterium. RNAcentral describes it as "partial 16S ribosomal RNA". It matches the Rfam family "Bacterial small subunit ribosomal RNA", at positions 28 to 507 of the family's 1533-position model. The record is from RNAcentral.